Molecule: ribosomal RNA, 253 nt
Filed under: uncultured bacterium
Lineage: Bacteria
Description: partial 16S ribosomal RNA
Rfam family: Bacterial small subunit ribosomal RNA
Source: RNAcentral
UACGUAGGGUGCAAGCGUUGUCCGGAAUUAUUGGGCGUAAAGGGCGCGUAGGCGGCGAGGUAAGUCUGGUGUGAAAUCUAGGAGCUCAACUCCUAAACUGCACUGGAUACUGCUUUGCUUGAGGACUGGAGAGGAGAUUGGAAUUCACGGUGUAGCAGUGAAAUGCGUAGAUAUCGUGAGGAAGACCAGUGGCGAAGGCGGAUCUCUGGACAGUUCCUGACGCUGAGGCGCGAAGGCCAGGGGAGCAAACGGG